AUUGAACGCUGGCGGCAGGCUUAACACAUGCAAGUCGAGCGGGGGAAGGUAGCUUGCUACCGGACCUAGCGGCGGACGGGUGAGUAAUGCUUAGGAAUCUGCCUAUUAGUGGGGGACAACAUCUCGAAAGGGAUGCUAAUACCGCAUACGUCCUACGGGAGAAAGCAGGGGAUCUUCGGACCUUGCGCUAAUAGAUGAGCCUAAGUCGGAUUAGCUAGUUGGUGGGGUAAAGGCCUACCAAGGCGACGAUCUGUAGCGGGGCUGAGAGGAUGAUCCGCCACACUGGGACUGCGACACGGCCCAGACUCCUACGGGAGGCAGCAGUGGUGAAUAUUGGACGAUGGGGGGAACCCUGAUCCAGCCAUGCCGCGUGUGUGAAGAAGGCCUUAUGGUUGUAAAGCACUUUAAGCGAGGAGGAGGCUACUUUAGUUAAUACCUAGAGAUAGUGGACGUUACUCGCAGAAUAAGCACCGGCUAACUCUGUGCCAGCCGCCGCCGUAA
RNAcentral lists this ribosomal RNA (501 nucleotides) under uncultured bacterium. Its description in RNAcentral is "partial 16S ribosomal RNA". It matches the Rfam family "Bacterial small subunit ribosomal RNA", at positions 30 to 523 of the family's 1533-position model. The record is from RNAcentral.